GAUGAACGCUAGCGGGAGGCUUAACACAUGCAAGUCGAGGGGCAGCAUAGGGUAGCAAUACUCUGAUGGCGACCGGCAAACGGGUGAGUAACGCGUAUGCAACCUACCCUGUACAGGGGGAUAACCCGGAGAAAUUCGGACUAAUAUCCCGUAAUAAUAUCCGGAGGCAUCUUUGGAUAUUUAAAGUUCCGACGGUACGGGAUGGGCAUGCGUAACAUUAGCUGGUUGGUAAGGUAACGGCUUACCAAGGCUAUGAUGUUUAGGGGUCCUGAGAGGGUGGUCCCCCACACUGGUACUGAGACACGGACCAGACUCCUACGGGAGGCAGCAGUGAGGAAUAUUGGUCAAUGGGCGCAAGCCUGAACCAGCCAUCCCGCGUGCAGGAAGACGGCCCUAUGGGUUGUAAACUGCUUUUCCAGGGAGAGAAACUUACGCACGUGUUGCGUGACUGACGGUACCCUGGGAAUAAGCAUCGGACUAACUCCGUCGCCAGCACGCCGGACGGUAAAAGUGUGUGUA
This 519-nucleotide ribosomal RNA is filed under the name uncultured bacterium. Its description in RNAcentral is "bacterial SSU rRNA". It matches the Rfam family "Bacterial small subunit ribosomal RNA", at positions 28 to 536 of the family's 1533-position model. The record is from RNAcentral.